CCCUUAGAUGAUUUGGGCCGCACGCGCGCUACACUGAUGCAUUCAACGAGUUUUACCUUGGCCGAGAGGCCUGGGCAAUCUUUUAAACCUGCAUCGUGAUAGGGAUAGAUUAUUGCAAUUAUUAAUCUUGAACGAGGAAUUCCUAGUAAACGCAAAUCAUCAAUUUGCAUUGAUUACGUCCCUGCCCUUUGUACACACCGCCCGUCGCACCUACCGAUUGAAUGGUCCGGUGAAGCCUCGGGAUUGUGGCCAGUUCACUUUAUUGGGAGUUGGCUGCGAGAACUUGUCUAAACCUUAUCAUUUAGAGGAAGGUGAAGUCGUAACA
This 325-nucleotide ribosomal RNA is filed under the name uncultured eukaryote. RNAcentral's name for it is "partial 18S ribosomal RNA". It matches the Rfam family "Eukaryotic small subunit ribosomal RNA", at positions 1470 to 1796 of the family's 1831-position model. The record is from RNAcentral.